AAAUUGAAGAGUUUGAUCAUGGCUCAGAUUGAACGCUGGCGGCAGGCCUAACACAUGCAAGUCGAACGGUAACAGGAAGCAGCUUGCUGCUUCGCUGACGAGUGGCGGACGGGUGAGUAAUGUCUGGGAAACUGCCUGAUGGAGGGGGAUAACUACUGGAAACGGUGGCUAAUACCGCA
This 179-nucleotide ribosomal RNA is filed under the name Salmonella enterica subsp. enterica serovar Heidelberg. RNAcentral's name for it is "partial 16S ribosomal RNA". It matches the Rfam family "Bacterial small subunit ribosomal RNA", at positions 1 to 173 of the family's 1533-position model. The record is from RNAcentral. RNAcentral also lists the same sequence under 12 other names. Lineage: Bacteria; Pseudomonadati; Pseudomonadota; Gammaproteobacteria; Enterobacterales; Enterobacteriaceae.